CUCGCAGGCUGCUUGAACAGUUAGACGUGAAAUCCCCGGGCUUAACCUGGGAACUGCGUUUAAUACUAGCAAGCUAGAGAAAUAGAGAGGAAAGUGGAACUCCCAGUGUAGAGGUGAAAUUCGUAGAUAUUGGGAAGAACACCAGUGGCGAAAGCGACUUUCUGGCUAUUUUCUGACGCUGAGGAGCGAAAGCGUGGGGAGCAAACAGGAUUAGAUACCCUGGUAGUC
This 228-nucleotide ribosomal RNA is filed under the name uncultured bacterium. RNAcentral describes it as "partial 16S ribosomal RNA". It matches the Rfam family "Bacterial small subunit ribosomal RNA", at positions 568 to 795 of the family's 1533-position model. The record is from RNAcentral.